RNAcentral lists this ribosomal RNA (1050 nucleotides) under uncultured bacterium. RNAcentral describes it as "bacterial SSU rRNA". It matches the Rfam family "Bacterial small subunit ribosomal RNA", at positions 23 to 1080 of the family's 1533-position model. The record is from RNAcentral.
CUCAGGAUGAACGUUGGCGGUGUGCCUAAUACAUGCAAGUCGAACGGUGACGAUUUUGUAGCAAUACGAAUGAAAUCAUAGUGGCGAACGGGUGAGUAACGCGUUGGUGAUCUGCCUCGAAGUGUGGAAUAACUUCCCGAAAGGGUAGCUAAUACCGCAUAGCCUCUCAAGGUUUAGAAAAUUGAGAGUAAAGGAUUUAUUCGCUUCGAGAGGAGCCUGCGUCCCAUCAGCUAGUUGGUAGGGUGAUAGCCUACCAAGGCAAUGACGGGUAGGGGACCUGAGAGGGUGGCCCCCCACAAUGGAACUGAAACACGGUCCAUACACCUACGGGUGGCAGCAGUAGGGAAUAUUAGAAAUGGGCGAAAGCCUGAUCUAGCAACACCGCGUGUGCGAUGAAGGCCUUCGGGUUGUAAAGCACUUUUUGGAGGGAAUAGGAAGGAAGGUACCUCCAGAAUAAGUCUCGGCUAACUACGUGCCAGCAGCCGCGGUAACACGUAGGAGGCAAACGUUAUCCGGAUUCACUGGGCGUAAAGCGCGUGUAGGUGGUUCUGUAAGUAGGGCGUGAAAGCUCCCGGCUCAACUGGGAGAGGCCGUACUAAACUGCAGAGCUAGAGGAUGGUAGAGGGAGGUGGAAUUCCAGGUGUAGUGGUGAAAUGCGCAGAUAUCUGGAGGAACACCAGUGGCGAAGGCGGCCUCCUGGACCAUUCCUGACACUCAGACGCGAAAGCUAGGGUAGCAAACGGAAUUAGAGACUCCGGUAGUCCUAGCCCUAAACGAUGCAGACUAGGCGUCGGCGGUUUAAUCACCGUCGGUGUCCAAGCUAACGCGAUAAGUCUGCCGCCUGAGGACUACGGCCGCAAGGCUAAAACUCAAAGGAAUUGACGGGUCCCCGCACAAGCAGCGGAGCGUGUGGUUUAAUUCGAUGCUCCGCGAAGAACCUUACCUGGGUUUGACAUAACAGUGGUAGAGAAGUGAAAACGGAUCGACCCUUCGGGGAGCUGUUACAGGUGUUGCAUGCCUGUCGUCAGCUCGUGUCGUGAGAUGUUCGGU